Molecule: long non-coding RNA, 473 nt
Organism: Oreochromis niloticus (Nile tilapia)
Lineage: Eukaryota; Metazoa; Chordata; Actinopteri; Cichliformes; Cichlidae
Exons: 4
Source: RefSeq, a predicted model, not a curated record
AGCAUGCACACUUAGAAACAUCUGAAGUACGUGGAGUUAAAAUAGUGUUGUAACUCAUGGAUUAUACGGUGAUCAUCUUUCUGCUGAUAGGAGCGCUGGUUAAUGGUACAUUUAGUCAAACUCAUCAGUACUACUAUGUGAGCACCUCACUGAACUGGACGGAGGCACAGAGCCACUGCAGAGAUGCCUACACUGACCUGGCCACCAUAGAAAGCACAGCUGACGUUGAUGCUGUCAGAAGCAUUGCAACAAACACAAGCAAGGCAUGGAUAGGUCUCUAUGAUGACCUGGAAAACAGUUGGAGAUGGUCCCUAAAUGACAGCAGCUUUUACGGUCAAGGAGAGACAACAUUUAGAAACUGGUACACUAAUCAGUCCGACAAUCUUAAUGGACAGCAAUACUGUGUGGCACUGUUAAGUGGGAGUCCAUACAAUGGUACAUGGGAUGACCGUGACUGUGACGAAGUGCUAAAC